GCUUCGAGCUAAAUUAGCUUUCAAUUUAGUUUCUUAUGGAAUAUCAUGUGAUGCAAUAUCUUGAGAUAUAAUUCUAGUGAAAUUUGGUUGAGGCAGAACCGCAGAAACAUUGCAGGAAACAUGAAGGAACCAAUUUGAAAUUGAUUAAAUUUGGAUGAGUAACAAUUGUUGGUGCGGUUGAGCACAUAGCAUGUUUAGGCUGCAGUGUUACUCCUCUCUCCAUGAUUUUCUAGCAUGUUCACUUCUUCCAAACUAAUUACCACUGUUGCGCCUCAGCAGGGAUCUGGAAUCAUGUGGAAGGCUUAUAAUUUUCCAGUGAUUUUGCUCUCUGAGACCAGCACAUCUAUCUUGCAACAGGUAUUUGGGAUUCAAAAUAUAUAAUAUCUUACCAUGUUUUUGUUCAGAAAAAAAGUUAUCCCUCCCACAGAAGAAGAAGAGAAAUUGAUAUUGCAGAAGAUCCCACUUCAGAAAAUGAUGGUGGAGAUAAUGGCAAAAUGUGGUUUAAAGAAUAUGAGUAAUGAUGUGGAGCGAUGCUUGUCCUUGUGCGCAGAAGAGAGAAUGCGUGGACUCAUAUCUAAUAUAAUUAGACUUUCAAAACAG
Long non-coding RNA from Salvia miltiorrhiza (redroot sage), 600 nucleotides. RefSeq lists it as uncharacterized. Lineage: Eukaryota; Viridiplantae; Streptophyta; Magnoliopsida; Lamiales; Lamiaceae. The record is from RefSeq and is a predicted model, not a curated record. The transcript is spliced from 3 exons.